ACCCAGCUAUCUCAGUUGGUAGAGCAUGGGACUCUUAAUCCCCAGGGUCUUGGGUUCAUGCCCCAUGUUGGGCG
RNAcentral lists this transfer RNA (74 nucleotides) under Nipponia nippon (crested ibis). It matches the Rfam family "tRNA". Rfam says of the family: Transfer RNA (tRNA) molecules are approximately 80 nucleotides in length. Their secondary structure includes four short double-helical elements and three loops (D, anti-codon, and T loops). The record is from Rfam by way of RNAcentral. Lineage: Eukaryota; Metazoa; Chordata; Aves; Pelecaniformes; Threskiornithidae.